This 443-nucleotide ribosomal RNA is filed under the name uncultured bacterium. RNAcentral's name for it is "partial 16S ribosomal RNA". It matches the Rfam family "Bacterial small subunit ribosomal RNA", at positions 338 to 795 of the family's 1533-position model. The record is from RNAcentral.
CCUACGGGAGGCAGCAGUGGGGAAUAUUGGACAAUGGGGGGAACCCUGAUCCAGCGACGCCGCGUGAGUGAAGAAGUAUUUCGGUAUGUAAAGCUCUAUCAGCAGGGAAGAAAGAAAUAACGGUACAUGACUAAGAAGCCCCGGCGAAAUACGUGCCAGCAGCCGCGGUAAUACGGAGGGGGCAAUCGUUAUCCGGAUUUACUGGGUGUAAAGGGAGCGUAGACGGGGAUGCCAGUCUGAAGUGAAAGGCGGGGGCCCAACCCCCGGACGGCUUUGGAAACUGUAUGGCUGGAGUGCAGGAGAGGUAAGUGGAAUGCGUAGUGUAGCGGUGAAAUGCGGAGAUAUUAGGAGGAACACCAGUGGCGAAGGCGGCUUACUGGACUGUAACUGACGUUGAGGCUCGAAAGCGUGGGGAGCAAACAGGAUUAGAUACCCCAGUAGUC